RNAcentral lists this long non-coding RNA (503 nucleotides) under Nicotiana benthamiana. RNAcentral's name for it is "long non-coding RNA (NBEN_LNC015794)". Lineage: Eukaryota; Viridiplantae; Streptophyta; Magnoliopsida; Solanales; Solanaceae. The record is from RNAcentral.
AAAGAUUGAAUGUGGUAACAGAGUAGUGCAAUGUAUGAAAUUACCAGCCUUAGGCAUCCAAGUUGAGAGGGAAUUCUAAGGUCCCAAAGCAGGGCUUACCAAAUGGGGGCAGAACUUAAAGAACUAAGAAUAAGUGUAAGUGAGGGGCUAGGGGAAACCAAAGAAAAGGGCGGUCGUACCCAGCCAUGAGUAACACUGGCACACCCCUGACCCUCCACUUGGUUUUAAACAGAUAGAGAGCAGAUCUUAGAAGUCAGACAUGGAUCUUGGUGGUGAUAAGGACACCUCCAAAACCUAGUCAAAGCUCAACACAUAAAGGGGAGAAGGGAAUGAGACUAAUUUGAGCAGAGGUCCAAAAGGACCUGGUCCCAAGUCAUGGAUAGCAAUGGGAUGCUACCCUAACCUAGGACAGUACUCACACAUAAAGGGGUCAAAGGGAAGGGGUUCACAUGGAAAGCAUGUAUAGAAAGCAUCAAGUAACAGAACUUAAAGGUGCAGAAAAC